This 933-nucleotide ribosomal RNA is filed under the name uncultured bacterium. Its description in RNAcentral is "bacterial SSU rRNA". It matches the Rfam family "Bacterial small subunit ribosomal RNA", at positions 9 to 958 of the family's 1533-position model. The record is from RNAcentral.
GAGUUUGAUCAUGGCUCAGGACGAACGCUGGCGGCGUGCUUACACAUGCAAUUCGAGCGAUGAGAUCACUUCGGUGAAGGAUUAGCGGCGAACGGGUGAGGAACACGUGAAGAAUCUGCCUUCAACUCUGGGAUAACUCCGGGAAACCGGGGCUAAUACCGGAUAUGAGCCUUGAUCGCAUGAUCGGGGCUGGAAAGUUUUUCGGUUGAAGAUGACUUCGCGGCCUAUCAGCUUGUUGGUGAGGUAAUGGCUCACCAAGGCGACGACGGGUAGCCGGCCUGAGAGGGCGACCGGCCACACUGGGACUGAGACACGGCCCAGACUCCUACGGGAGGCAGCAGUGGGGAAUAUUGGGCAAUGGAGGAAACUCUGACCCAGCGACGCCGCGUGCGGGAUGAAGGCCUUCGGGUUGUAAACCGCUUUCAGCAGGGAAUAAGCGCAAGUGAAGGUACCUGCAGAAGAAGCACCGGCUAACUAUGUGCCAGCAGCCGCGGUAAUACAUAGGGUGCAAGCGUUGUCCGGAAUUAUUGGGCGUAAAGAGCUCGUAGGUGGUUUGUUACGUCGGUUGUGAAAUUCAGGGGCUCAACCCCUGACUUGCAGCCGAUACGGGCAAGCUAGAGUUUGGUAGGGGAGACUGGAAUUCCUGGUGUAGCGGUGGAAUGCGCAGAUAUCAGGAGGAACACCGAUGGCGAAGGCAGGUCUCUGGGCCAAUACUGACACUGAGGAGCGAAAGCGUGGGGAGCGAACAGGAUUAGAUACCCUGGUAGUCCACGCCGUANACGGUGGGCGCUAGUUGUGCGAACCUUCCACGGUUUGUGCGACGCAGCUAACGCAUUAAGCGCCCCGCCUGGGGAGUACGAUCGCAAGAAUUAAACUCCAAGGAAUUGACGGGGCCCCGCACAAGCAGCGAAGCAUGCGGGCUAAAUCGACGCA